This 214-nucleotide long non-coding RNA is filed under the name Capsicum annuum. RNAcentral describes it as "long non-coding RNA (CANN_LNC016692)". Lineage: Eukaryota; Viridiplantae; Streptophyta; Magnoliopsida; Solanales; Solanaceae. The record is from RNAcentral.
UUAACUGAGGCGUGAAAGGGAGGAUGGGGAUCACCUCAGUGUGAUCCAUUUAAUUUUUUGUAACCAUUUGGCUGAAAAACGGGUGAAACGGUGCGAAUGGGCCAUUUUUGGGACAAAUCGUUGUGCUAUAGCCCACGGUUUUGAGGGUGGGCUCAGGGUUCGACCGUUCUAUGGGCCUAAAAUCCAUCGGUACAUGCUUGGGAGGUUAGGGAUC